UGCCUCGUCCACCCCUGCUAUGAAGCUCGGUC
This 32-nucleotide non-coding RNA is filed under the name Mus musculus (house mouse). Lineage: Eukaryota; Metazoa; Chordata; Mammalia; Rodentia; Muridae. The record is from RNAcentral.